RNAcentral lists this transfer RNA (68 nucleotides) under Thelaira macropus. Its description in RNAcentral is "tRNA-Trp". It matches the Rfam family "tRNA". Rfam says of the family: Transfer RNA (tRNA) molecules are approximately 80 nucleotides in length. Their secondary structure includes four short double-helical elements and three loops (D, anti-codon, and T loops). Lineage: Eukaryota; Metazoa; Arthropoda; Insecta; Diptera; Tachinidae. The record is from RNAcentral.
AAAGUUUUAAGUUAAAAUAAACUAAUAGCCUUCAAAGCUAUAAAUAUAGGAUAAUCUUUUAAGCUUUA